UAACCAAUGCAAAUGAAAUCCAGUUCAAACACAUUAUCUUGUCAGUAAUGGAGAAGCCAAGUAAGCCAAUGUGUUACAUUGCAGGUGAAGCUGUGGUAGGAAAAGAUUUGAGGCUGAGAUGCAGAUCCUCAGAAGGUAGUCCCCCUCUAAAGUACAGAUGGUCAAAGACAAGCGGAAACCAAGUGUUGCCUCAGAAUGCUGUUAUUGACACUAUACAAGGCGAUUUGUAUUUGGAUGAAAUCACAGAGAGAGACUCUGGAACCUACCUCUGCAAAGUUGAAAACCUUGUUGGUACAGACAACUGCAAGUUUACACUCAGUGUCACAUCACAGCUGACUUUAAAUUAUGAACACGGUACUAUAGCAGCAGUUGUUGUCAGUGUGGUUGUGGGCAUCAUCAUUGUCAUUGCAGUCAUUUACUACUGCCACCGAAAAAAGAAGGAGGAGCAAUUUGGCAAUGAAAUAUUGGAAGAUACUUUCCCUCCUCAUAAAUUCCGUUGCACAAGUGACAAAGUACAGGCCUGGACUUAUGAAAGCUCCCAGCGCAGUGUACAGGUAAGGAAAUGUUAAGCAACAGUUAAGCAACAUUUUUUUUUUUCAUUUUAAGAGUAUGUUAGUCGUCUAUGCCAAGUUCAAUAACUCAAGAUUAAAUUAGCUGGGUCUUUUAUCAGACUUAUACUGUUAUUGAUGUUGAAGCAGCAGCACCUUUUCUUAACUGAAAUCAUCUCAUUACACUUCACAUGUUUACAAAGUUAUAUCGAUAUAAUGAUUUUCGGUAUCGCUCCAGAAGCGACGUCUGAUCAUGCACGAGGACAUGGACAAAGGGCUGAAGUUUGAGGACAAAGAGUUUGAGUAUGAGGCCUUGAGCAGGAGGACCUUGUUAGUAACAGCCAAUUAUAUCUGAAAAAGUCUGAACUAAACUAAACUAAACACCAAUAAACUUGUGCGGUACAUGUGAACCAAAAUGAGUGAUUUAUUAUACAGUUCAUAGUUUGGCCACCUGAACCUUUUGAAUGUAUUGAUGGUGAAACAUUUUGGUAUUUUUAUUGAGGGAAAAAAAAACCACUUCUGUCUAUGUAUCUUCUUAAAACCAAAAUCUCACGAUUCAUCUUUAGGAGCCGUGUUCCUUGGAGGAAGAAAAGUCAGAGGGGAAUGGGUGCAUUGAGCAUUGUGUGACAACCCAUCAUGAAAAAAAGGAGUUGUACUCUCCUUUAAAAAGGAAGCCGAUUGAAUCCAGGAAGCAUGGUGCCUGUGAUGAAAAGAAGAAACCCAGGGAGGAGGACGUGUCAGAGAUUGAUGUCUGCAAAGCUGAUGGGGAGGGCCAUGUCAAAGAUGAAAUGAGCUGUGGUCCUGGAUUGAACAACAGCUGAGGAAUAUAGAUGCAUUGAACUUUGUGUGAGCACCUGCAGUGGACCAAAGCCCAAAAUAUUGCAGACUGGAUCAGGACAACCAACUGCCACACCCUCGAGGACAAACAGAAUUCAUACUGUUUUUGAUAAAGAAAACAAUGUGUUUGUUGACAGUAC
Scatophagus argus is the source of this 1525-nucleotide long non-coding RNA. RefSeq lists it as uncharacterized. The transcript has 5 exons. The record is from RefSeq and is a predicted model, not a curated record. NCBI's taxonomy places the organism in Eukaryota, Metazoa, Chordata, Actinopteri, Scatophagidae.